This 73-nucleotide transfer RNA is filed under the name Chattonella marina. Its description in RNAcentral is "tRNA-Ala". It matches the Rfam family "tRNA". From Rfam's summary of the family: Transfer RNA (tRNA) molecules are approximately 80 nucleotides in length. Their secondary structure includes four short double-helical elements and three loops (D, anti-codon, and T loops). The record is from RNAcentral. Lineage: Eukaryota; Raphidophyceae; Chattonellales; Chattonellaceae.
GGGGUUUUAGCUCAAUUGGUAGAGCGUAUGCUUUGCACGCCUAAGGUUAUCGGUUCAAUUCCGGUAAACUCCA